AUAUUUCUAUCCCAGCCCCUCACAACGCGUGAAAUAUGCGCGAAUACACCUUCACAAUCAAAUUCACGCGAAACGGCACAUAAAAUAUCGCACUUUUUGCAAAAUUACCGUUUUGCCAACACCGACCUCUCCUCGAUCAACGUGCGAUCUCCGCAGAUCCGUCCGUCAGAUUUACGAACGGAUUGUACCAGUGCGAUCAGCACCUCGGAGACGACAAAGCUACGAUUUCGUUUCACCACGAUCGACCACGGAUUCACGACAAAAGCCAAUCUUUCUUUCCAAUAGAAGGAAUAACACAUAAAUACAUAUAAAACAUGUAUUUUUGGAUUUUCUCGAAAUCCGUGCAUCAAACUCAAAAUCCGUCAGUGCCAGUAGUUCUAGAAUAGCUGAACCGAUCGAAACGAGGUAUUGGAUCGCUAUGAACGGAGUCCGAUACGCGUAGAAAACCAACUCUACUCCGUGGGUUCACCGAAAAACCGGAGUUACUAUUCACUUAAGUGAAAACUAAUAAUCGCGUAACUUCUCCGUUUUAGCUCAUUUUCUUCUGAAACUUGACGAGUGCUUAUAUAGUUAAAUUACACACAUAAACAUCAUCAACAGAGAGUUUAGUAGCACUGUAAAAAUCUCAGUUCUUACACUCUAUGACUCCCCAAACACCACCAAGACCAUCAAAAUAGUAUCAAUUCCUAUUUCUCACUAAAACUUUGCUAUUUGCAAAAGUUCAAUACAUUACAAAAGUUUUAAACCUUAAAUCAUAUUUGCACCAUUUAAAACUAUAUUAAACUAUUUAAUGAGAAUCUAAAAUUUUUAUUAGAAAAGCUUAAAUGUUGCAUCAUUUGAAGCCAUGUUAUACAAUUUGUGAGUAUGUUGCACU
Molecule: long non-coding RNA, 874 nt
Filed under: Ananas comosus (pineapple)
Lineage: Eukaryota; Viridiplantae; Streptophyta; Magnoliopsida; Poales; Bromeliaceae
Description: long non-coding RNA (ACOM_LNC017841)
Source: RNAcentral